This is a small nuclear RNA of Sorex fumeus (smoky shrew), 107 nucleotides long. The record is from RefSeq and is a predicted model, not a curated record. NCBI's taxonomy places the organism in Eukaryota, Metazoa, Chordata, Mammalia, Eulipotyphla, Soricidae.
GUGCUUGCUUCGGCAGCACAUAUACUAAAAUCGGAGUGAUACAGAGAAGAUUAGCAUGGCCCCUGCACAAGGAUGACAUGCACAUUCGUGAAAUGUUACAUAUUUUU